GCACGUCCUCUCUUCUUUCGUGGAAGAGAUGGAGUGGCGGACGGGUGAGUAAACAUGGGUACCUGCCCUCCAGUGAGGAAUACCGGUGAGAAAUCGCUGACAAGCACGCAUACGCCCGGCAACGGGCAAAGUCGCUCGCAAGAUCGGCGCUGGAGGAUGGGCCUGUGGCCGAUAAGCUAGCUGGUGGGGUAACGGCUCACCAGUGCGACGAUCGGUAUCUGGUCUGAUAGGAUGAUCAUCCUCACUGGGAUUGAGAACGGCCCAGACUCCUACGGGGGGCAGCAGUGAGGAAUUUUCCGCAAUGGAUGCAACUCUGACGGAGCAACGCCGCGUGCAGGAGGACGCGCUUCGGCGUGUAAACUGCUUUUCUGCGGGACGAGAGAGGACUGUACCGUAUGAAGAAGCCCCGGCUAACUACGUGCCAUCAGCCGCGGUAAU
This 438-nucleotide ribosomal RNA is filed under the name uncultured bacterium. RNAcentral describes it as "bacterial SSU rRNA". It matches the Rfam family "Bacterial small subunit ribosomal RNA", at positions 64 to 524 of the family's 1533-position model. The record is from RNAcentral.